Long non-coding RNA from Juglans microcarpa x Juglans regia, 162 nucleotides. RefSeq lists it as uncharacterized. Lineage: Eukaryota; Viridiplantae; Streptophyta; Magnoliopsida; Fagales; Juglandaceae. The record is from RefSeq and is a predicted model, not a curated record. The transcript is spliced from 3 exons.
AUUACCAAAACUUUGUGGUGAGGAUGAUGAAUACGAACAGGCAGGCCAGGAAUAGAAUGAGCAUUAAAUUUUAGUUCAGACUUUUUAAAAUAAAACAUGCUUUUAUGACAUGAAUUUUGUUCGAUUUAUUUCAUUUAAAUUUUUGGAAGAUAUUUUAUUAGA